RNAcentral lists this long non-coding RNA (315 nucleotides) under Equus asinus (donkey). RNAcentral's name for it is "lncRNA (ENSEASG00005029303.1, ENSEASG00020007745.1)". Lineage: Eukaryota; Metazoa; Chordata; Mammalia; Perissodactyla; Equidae. The record is from RNAcentral.
GAGGAACAUUAUUCCUGAGCUAACAUCUGUGCCAGCCUUCCUCUACUUUGUAUGUGGGUCACCACCACAACAUGGCCACUGACAAGUAGUAUACAUGCAUACCUGGGAACCAAACCUGGGCCGCUGAAGCAGAGCACACCAAACUUAACUCCUGGGCCAUAGAGCCAGCCCCCAAAAUACUCUUCAACAUGUCUCUUUUAUUUUCCAUUUCUGACAAUUUUAAGAUUCUUAAGUGCACCUGCUAUCUCAAACUCUGGGAAAUAUCUUUCUCCAGGGACUCCAGAUGAUUUCUAACUAUCCACACAGUAAAAUCUU